UACAGAGGGGGGCAAGCGUUGUUCGGAAUUACUGGGCGUAAAGGGCUCGUAGGCGGCCAACUAAGUCAGACGUGAAAUCCCCAGGCUUAACCUGGGAACUGCGUCUGAUACUGGAUGGCUUGAAUCCGGGAGAGGGAUGCAGAAUUCCAGGUGUAGCGGUGAAAUGCGUAGAUAUCUGGAGGAAUACCGGUGGCGAAGGCGGCAUCCUGGACCGGCAUUGACGCUGAUGAGCGAAAGCCAGGGGAGCAAACGGG
RNAcentral lists this ribosomal RNA (254 nucleotides) under uncultured bacterium. RNAcentral's name for it is "partial 16S ribosomal RNA". It matches the Rfam family "Bacterial small subunit ribosomal RNA", at positions 524 to 776 of the family's 1533-position model. The record is from RNAcentral.